AAUAAAAUCUUAAAAAAAAAGACUGGUGGCCAUGAAUCCAAGGCAAGGAUCAGUGACUAAUCAACUAUACCAAAUGGUGAUUGGGUGAGUUGAAUGAGGAUGGGAUUUAACCAUCAAAGGUAUUGGGGACCUUUCAAAAGCUGGCUUUAUAGAACAAGAUGUGCCAAAGUCUUCUUGGAAUAGAUUUCUUUUUUUUUUUUAAUUUUUAUUUAUUAUUUAUGAUAGUCACAGAGAGAGAGAGAGGCAGAGACAUAGGCAGAGGGAGAAGCAGGCUCCAUGCACCGGGAGCCCGACGUGGGAUUCGAUCCCGGGUCUCCAGGAUCAUGCCCUGGGCCAAAGGCAGGCGCCAAACCGCUGCGCCACCCAGGGAUCCCUGGAAUAGAUUUCUGAGAAAUAUAUAGAUUGUCCAUCUUUUUUUACCUUGCCCAUCCUAAAUAUUGUACUUCUCUUUGACCUUACAAUUUGUAUCAUGAUACUCCAGCUUUACAUUAUAUUCUUAGUUUACUAUUGCUGCUAUAACAAACUACCAAGCAAGGACUAAGACAACUAAAAUUUUAUGUAACAGUUUUGGAGUUCAGAAUUCUGAAAAGGGUCUCAGUGAACUAAAAUCAAGAUGUGAAUAGGACCAUAUUUCUCCCUGGAGGCUCGAGGGGGUGAAUCUGUUUCUUUUUUCCAGCUUCUAGAUGGCUUCCGCUUUCCUUUCUGUGUGGAUCUUUUUUCCUUCUUGAAGAUCAGCAAUAUCAGUUCAGGUCUCAUACUACCAUCUCUUUGACUCUUCUGCUUUUCCUCCUCCUCCCCCCCACUUUUUUUAAGUAAACUCUACUCUGCAAUGUGGGGCUCAAACUCAAGACCCUAAGAUCAAGAGUUGCAUGCUCUCCUGAGCCAGCCAGGCACCCCACCUCUACUACAUUAUUUUAGAGCUGUUUUGUGAUCCCCUUCCCCCAUUCUGGUAAAAGAAAUACAGUGAAACAGUAUGAACAGGGAGAGGCAGGAGAGGAAGAGAGACCAGCCGACUGACUGACUGCCUGCUGAGUGCAGAGCCCAACAUGGGGCUUGAU
This 1058-nucleotide long non-coding RNA is filed under the name Canis lupus familiaris (dog). RNAcentral describes it as "lncRNA (ENSCAFG00000055462.1, ENSCAFG00845023133.1)". The record is from RNAcentral. Lineage: Eukaryota; Metazoa; Chordata; Mammalia; Carnivora; Canidae.